This 2663-nucleotide ribosomal RNA is filed under the name Escherichia coli. Its description in RNAcentral is "partial 23S ribosomal RNA". It matches the Rfam family "Bacterial large subunit ribosomal RNA". Lineage: Bacteria; Pseudomonadati; Pseudomonadota; Gammaproteobacteria; Enterobacterales; Enterobacteriaceae. The record is from RNAcentral.
AGGUGAUAUGAACCGUUAUAACCGGCGAUUUCCGAAUGGGGAAACCCAGUGUGUUUCGACACACUAUCAUUAACUGAAUCCAUAGGUUAAUGAGGCGAACCGGGGGAACUGAAACAUCUAAGUACCCCGAGGAAAAGAAAUCAACCGAGAUUCCCCCAGUAGCGGCGAGCGAACGGGGAGGAGCCCAGAGCCUGAAUCAGUGUGUGUGUUAGUGGAAGCGUCUGGAAAGGCGCGCGAUACAGGGUGACAGCCCCGUACACAAAAAUGCACAUGCUGUGAGCUCGAUGAGUAGGGCGGGACACGUGGUAUCCUGUCUGAAUAUGGGGGGACCAUCCUCCAAGGCUAAAUACUCCUGACUGACCGAUAGUGAACCAGUACCGUGAGGGAAAGGCGAAAAGAACCCCGGCGAGGGGAGUGAAAAAGAACCUGAAACCGUGUACGUACAAGCAGUGGGAGCCUCUUAAUGGGGUGACUGCGUACCUUUUGUAUAAUGGGUCAGCGACUUAUAUUCUGUAGCAAGGUUAACCGAAUAGGGGAGCCGAAGGGAAACCGAGUCUUAACUGGGCGUUAAGUUGCAGGGUAUAGACCCGAAACCCGGUGAUCUAGCCAUGGGCAGGUUGAAGGUUGGGUAACACUAACUGGAGGACCGAACCGACUAAUGUUGAAAAAUUAGCGGAUGACUUGUGGCUGGGGGUGAAAGGCCAAUCAAACCGGGAGAUAGCUGGUUCUCCCCGAAAGCUAUUUAGGUAGCGCCUCGUGAAUUCAUCUCCGGGGGUAGAGCACUGUUUCGGCAAGGGGGUCAUCCCGACUUACCAACCCGAUGCAAACUGCGAAUACCGGAGAAUGUUAUCACGGGAGACACACGGCGGGUGCUAACGUCCGUCGUGAAGAGGGAAACAACCCAGACCGCCAGCUAAGGUCCCAAAGUCAUGGUUAAGUGGGAAACGAUGUGGGAAGGCCCAGACAGCCAGGAUGUUGGCUUAGAAGCAGCCAUCAUUUAAAGAAAGCGUAAUAGCUCACUGGUCGAGUCGGCCUGCGCGGAAGAUGUAACGGGGCUAAACCAUGCACCGAAGCUGCGGCAGCGACACUAUGUGUUGUUGGGUAGGGGAGCGUUCUGUAAGCCUGUGAAGGUGGCCUGUGAGGGUUGCUGGAGGUAUCAGAAGUGCGAAUGCUGACAUAAGUAACGAUAAAGCGGGUGAAAAGCCCGCUCGCCGGAAGACCAAGGGUUCCUGUCCAACGUUAAUCGGGGCAGGGUGAGUCGACCCCUAAGGCGAGGCCGAAAGGCGUAGUCGAUGGGAAACAGGUUAAUAUUCCUGUACUUGGUGUUACUGCGAAGGGGGGACGGAGAAGGCUAUGUUGGCCGGGCGACGGUUGUCCCGGUUUAAGCGUGUAGGCUGGUUUUCCAGGCAAAUCCGGAAAACCAAGGCUGAGGCGUGAUGACGAGGCACUACGGUGCUGAAGUGACAAAUGCCCUGCUUCCAGGAAAAGCCUCUAAGCAUCAGGUAACAUCAAAUCGUACCCCAAACCGACACAGGUGGUCAGGUAGAGAAUACCAAGGCGCUUGAGAGAACUCGGGUGAAGGAACUAGGCAAAAUGGUGCCGUAACUUCGGGAGAAGGCACGCUGAUAUGUAGGUGAAGCGACUUGCUCGUGGAGCUGAAAUCAGUCGAAGAUACCAGCUGGCUGCAACUGUUUAUUAAAAACACAGCACUGUGCAAACACGAAAGUGGACGUAUACGGUGUGACGCCUGCCCGGUGCCGGAAGGUUAAUUGAUGGGGUUAGCGGUAACGCGAAGCUCUUGAUCGAAGCCCCGGUAAACGGCGGCCGUAACUAUAACGGUCCUAAGGUAGCGAAAUUCCUUGUCGGGUAAGUUCCGACCUGCACGAAUGGCGUAAUGAUGGCCAGGCUGUCUCCACCCGAGACUCAGUGAAAUUGAACUCGCUGUGAAGAUGCAGUGUACCCGCGGCAAGACGGAAAGACCCCGUGAACCUUUACUAUAGCUUGACACUGAACAUUGAGCCUUGAUGUGUAGGAUAGGUGGGAGGCUUUGAAGUGUGGACGCCAGUCUGCAUGGAGCCGACCUUGAAAUACCACCCUUUAAUGUUUGAUGUUCUAACGUUGGCCCCUAAUCGGGGUUGCGGACAGUGUCUGGUGGGUAGUUUGACUGGGGCGGUCUCCUCCUAAAGAGUAACGGAGGAGCACGAAGGUUGGCUAAUCCUGGUCGGACAUCAGGAGGUUAGUGCAAUGGCAUAAGCCAGCUUGACUGCGAGCGUGACGGCGCGAGCAGGUGCGAAAGCAGGUCAUAGUGAUCCGGUGGUUCUGAAUGGAAGGGCCAUCGCUCAACGGAUAAAAGGUACUCCGGGGAUAACAGGCUGAUACCGCCCAAGAGUUCAUAUCGACGGCGGUGUUUGGCACCUCGAUGUCGGCUCAUCACAUCCUGGGGCUGAAGUAGGUCCCAAGGGUAUGGCUGUUCGCCAUUUAAAGUGGUACGCGAGCUGGGUUUAGAACGUCGUGAGACAGUUCGGUCCCUAUCUGCCGUGGGCGCUGGAGAACUGAGGGGGGCUGCUCCUAGUACGAGAGGACCGGAGUGGACGCAUCACUGGUGUUCGGGUUGUCAUGCCAAUGGCACUGCCCGGUAGCUAAAUGCGGAAGAGAUAAGUGCU